RNAcentral lists this long non-coding RNA (712 nucleotides) under Citrus sinensis (sweet orange). Its description in RNAcentral is "long non-coding RNA (CSIN_LNC002296)". The record is from RNAcentral. Lineage: Eukaryota; Viridiplantae; Streptophyta; Magnoliopsida; Sapindales; Rutaceae.
CAAAGCAAGGUUGAUAUUAUCCCAUUCAAGUUUGUUCAGCUCCAAGCUAACUUAACUCCAUCUCAACAUCAUCAGAGCAUAAAAACAACAAAUGUAAAUCAAAUGGCGCGUGGUCUCCCACGCCCCCAGGCUCCCUUAUGGCUGCACAGGCGCGUCGGCGGACGGAGUCUUCUACGUGAUUGGCGGGUUGAAGAUCGACGGGCCUCCCACGGGGGCGGCGGAUGCGCAGAUGUACAUGAGCUCGAUGGAUUUGUACGACGUGGAGGCGCGUGUCUGGUUGAGAAGCCGUGCGGUUCCCGGCGGAGGAUGCGUUAUAGCAGCGUGUGCAGCCGUGGGGUUUAUUUACGUUCUCACGAGUCACGCGGUUGAGAUGUCGUUCUGGAGAUUCGACGCGCGUCGAAGACACGGAGGGUUUGGCGAGUGGAGUAGGAUGAAGACGCCGUAGCUGGGGUUGGAGAUUCGACGCGCAUCGGAGACACGGAGUGUUUGGCGAGUGGAGUAGGAUGAAGACGCCGCAGCUGGCGCAGCCGUGGAAUAGGAUGAAGACGCUGUAGCUGGCGCAGCCGGUGAGGCUAGACGGGUCCAUCAAGUUCAGUCUGGUGGGUGUCGGAAACAAGGUGAUGUUGGCUUUAAUGAAGAACGGGAGAGUCUUGAGGGCAAGCGACGAAAGGUUUGUUUGGAUUUACGACACGGUGGCCGGAGACUGGAGCUG